AGAAUCAACGCUGGCGGCGUGCCUAACACAUGCAAGUCGAACGAGAAAGGGGAGCAAUCCCUGAGUAAAGUGGCGACCGGGUGAGUAACACGUGACUAACCUACCCUCGAGUGUGGAAUAACAUCGGGAAACCGAUGCUAAUACCGCAUAACAUCGGCGCUUUUAAGAGAUGCCGAUCAAAGGAGCAAUCCGCUUGAGGAGGGGGUCGCGGCUGAUUAGCUAGUUGGCGGGGUAACGGCCCACCAAGGCGAAGAUCGGUAGCCGGCCUGAGAGGGGCGACCGGGCCAACGACUGGGACUGGAGACACGGCCCAGACUCCUACGGGAGGCAGCAGUGGGGAAUAUUGCGCAAUGGGCGAAAGCCUGACGCAGCGACGCCGCGUGAGGGAUGAAGGCCUUCGGGUUGUAAACCUCUUUCAGCAGGGACGAAGCGAAAGUGACGGUACCUGCAGAGAGCACGGCUAACACGUGCCAGCAGCCGC
This 481-nucleotide ribosomal RNA is filed under the name uncultured bacterium. Its description in RNAcentral is "SSU rRNA". It matches the Rfam family "Bacterial small subunit ribosomal RNA", at positions 26 to 518 of the family's 1533-position model. The record is from RNAcentral.